UAGAAGCCGGAGUUUAUACAUCUCCCCACACCACCAUCGAUGACAACUACAACCAUCCCUGCCCAUUACGGUAACCACCCUCUACCAACCUUCUUUUCCACCUCCGGCAAACAAGACCGAUCACCGUCUACCACCACCCGCCGUGAAUCCAUCAUCUCCUAACCACCACUUUCUUCACCGAUAACCACCGGUACCGCCGGCGAACACCCACCACCUCCGAUUAAACAUCAACCACCAUCUCCGGCUACCUCCGACCGACCACCACCUAUUCCACCAUACCCACCUUCCAUAAUCACCAUCACCCUUCAUCCUCACCCUUUUAUCACCGCCGUCGAUUAUUGCCGACGCUGGCCGACCUCUGAUACUUCAGUCGAUCUCCGAUUCUGAUUAACAAACUAAGUUUUAUAAUUUCUCUAUUUCUCAGUCAAGUGAAUCCAGGUAUGAAGCUUACAUGUUGUUAUUGAUUCAUAGAGAUUAUUAUUCGUAUUUGAUUGUAAAUUAUUUGGUGAGAUUGAUAUGUGGGUAGUGAAUAAGAUUAAAGGGAAGAGAUAAUGUGUUUGAAUAUAAUGAUGGGUCAGGGAAUUCAGUUUGGAUUGAGUUUAGUUUAGAUUAUGAGAGUUGUUGGAAUUGAUGCAAUUUUGUGAAAAGGGGUAGUUGAAUGUAAUUGUUAGAAAUUGAGGUGAGUUGAGAGUUGUUUAAGAAUAGGAAUUUAAGUUGCUGUUAGGUUGAAAUUAUGAUAAAACAAGAUUUGGAAUAUGCGUGAAGGAUGUGAGUUGUAGCAAAUGAGUUGUGGGUGGCAAGGGUAUAAUGACGUUUAGGAUUACAGAAAAGGGUUGAUGAGCGGAUAGUUGGUGUGCACGUGCUAGUUUGGAAGGGUAAGGUGUGACAAAGGGACAAUAAAGUCGAUGUCUUGUCCGGUGAAUAUUUAUUAGGCGUUGUGGUAUGCGAACGGAUAGUAAAGUAAUUUGCAUUGAGGCAAUUGAGUUGAGCGGAAAAGGUAGGCCGGUCAAUUGUUGUGACGUCGAGUCAAAGUAAAAGUCAAUUAGUGCAGUCCCGCGAUACGCGGAAGAAUUUGGAGAGUAUGUCGCGACGUGCGAUGGGGUGCGGGCCGAGAGAAAAUAAUUUUUUUUUAUUGCCCAAUCUUGUUUGACGUCAUCUGAAUCUCGUCUUUCACUUGUUUUCUCUUCGUUUACUAACCGUUUAACAUGUUUGUGGAGCUUGUGAGUUUUAUUUUGCAGGUUAUUGAUCACUUUUGGCCAUACUCAAUCUCCAUUUGGACGAAAGUGCUUCUAACAAUUAUAUAAAGACAAGCGUUCCGUGUUGAAGCAGCCGCGAAUGAAAUGCUAUACGGUUGCGGUGGAACAAGACUCAUAGGAAUUUCAACCGCGUCAAAUCAGGGGAGUAUAUUCCAUUUAUCUUUGUAUUUUGAUUUAUAUUUGUAGUGUGUCAAUAGUUUCUCGCUCCAUUGAGGACAAUGAAGGAAAUAAGUGUAGGGAGGGGAAACUAGCGUCUAGUAUGUUUAGUUAGUGUCGUGUCAUAAAAAAUAAAAAAAUAAUA
Molecule: long non-coding RNA, 1557 nt
Filed under: Helianthus annuus (common sunflower)
Lineage: Eukaryota; Viridiplantae; Streptophyta; Magnoliopsida; Asterales; Asteraceae
Description: sRNA HanXRQr2_Chr03g0126291
Source: RNAcentral